RNAcentral lists this ribosomal RNA (99 nucleotides) under Pteropus alecto (black flying fox). Lineage: Eukaryota; Metazoa; Chordata; Mammalia; Chiroptera; Pteropodidae. The record is from RNAcentral.
AUCUAUGGCCAUGCUACCCUGAUCUUGGAAGCUAAGCAGGGUCAGGCCUGGUUAGUACUUGGAUGGGAGACCACCUAGGAAGAUCAGGCCCUGGAGGCA